RNAcentral lists this ribosomal RNA (583 nucleotides) under Saccharomyces cerevisiae (brewer's yeast). Its description in RNAcentral is "LSU rRNA". It matches the Rfam family "Eukaryotic large subunit ribosomal RNA", at positions 71 to 668 of the family's 3401-position model. The record is from RNAcentral. Lineage: Eukaryota; Fungi; Ascomycota; Saccharomycetes; Saccharomycetales; Saccharomycetaceae.
GGGAUUGCCUUAGUAACGGCGAGUGAAGCGGCAAAAGCUCAAAUUUGAAAUGCGUGGUACCUGUCGGGGCGGAGUGAAUUUGGAGAGGGCAACUUUGGGGCCGUUCCUUGUGGAAGUGCCUUGGAACAGGACGGCAUAGAGGGUGAGAAUCCCGUGUGGCGAGGAGUGCGGUUCUUUGUAAAGUGCCUUCGAAGAGUCGAGUUGUUUGGGAAUGCAGCUCUAAGUGGGUGGUAAAUUCCAUCUAAAGCUAAAUAUUGGCGAGAGACCGAUAGCGAACAAGUACAGUGAUGGAAAGAUGAAAAGAACUUUGAAAAGAGAGUGAAAAAGUACGUGAAAUUGUUGAAAGGGAAGGGCAUUUGAUCAGACAUGGUGUUUUGUGCCCUCUGCUCCUUGUGGGUAGGGGAAUCUCGCAUUUCACUGGGCCAGCAUCAGUUUUGGUGGCAGGAUAAAUCCAUAGGAAUGUAGCUUGCCUCGGUAAGUAUUAUAGCCUGUGGGAAUACUGCCAGCUGGGACUGAGGACUGCGACGUAAGUCAAGGAUGCUGGCAUAAUGGUUAUAUGCCGCCCGUCUUGAAACACGGACCA